GGGGCUGAUUCUGGAUUCGACGGGAUUUGCGAAACCCAAGGUGCAUGCCGAGGGGCGGUUGGCCUCGUAAAAAGCCGCAAAAAAAUAGUCGCAAACGACGAAAACUACGCUUUAGCAGCUUAAUAACCUGCUUAGAGCCCUCUCUCCCUAGCCUCCGCUCUUAGGACGGGGAUCAAGAGAGGUCAAACCCAAAAGAGAUCGCGCGGAUGCCCUGCCUGGGGUUUAAGCGUUAAAACGAAUCAGGCUAGUCUGGUAGUGGCGUGUCCGUCCGCAGGUGCCAGGCGAAUGUAAAGACUGACUAAGCAUGUAGUACCGAGGAUGUAGGAAUUUCGGACGCGGGUUCAACUCCCGCCAGCUCCACCA
This 363-nucleotide transfer-messenger RNA is filed under the name Salmonella enterica. Its description in RNAcentral is "Standard tmRNA". It matches the Rfam family "transfer-messenger RNA". Rfam says of the family: Bacterial tmRNA, also known as 10Sa RNA or SsrA, is named for its dual tRNA and mRNA-like properties. Its role is to liberate the mRNA from a stalled ribosome. The record is from RNAcentral. Lineage: Bacteria; Pseudomonadati; Pseudomonadota; Gammaproteobacteria; Enterobacterales; Enterobacteriaceae. RNAcentral also lists the same sequence under 3 other names.